RNAcentral lists this ribosomal RNA (253 nucleotides) under uncultured bacterium. Its description in RNAcentral is "partial 16S ribosomal RNA". It matches the Rfam family "Bacterial small subunit ribosomal RNA", at positions 524 to 776 of the family's 1533-position model. The record is from RNAcentral.
UACGUAGGGUGCGAGCGUUAAUCGGAAUUACUGGGCGUAAAGCGUGCGCAGGCGGUUCGUUGUGUCGGUGGUGAAAGCCCCGGGCUUAACCUGGGAAUGGCCAUGGAAACUGGCGAACUGGAGUGUGGCAGAGGGGGGUGGAAUUCCGCGUGUAGCAGUGAAAUGCGUAGAGAUGUGGAGGAAUACCGAUGGCGAAGGCAGCCCCCUGGGAUAACACUGACGCUCAUGCACGAAAGCGUGGGGAGCAAACAGG